CCCUUAGAUGUUCUGGGCCGCACGCGCGCUACACUGGUGCAUUCAACGAGUUUCUUCCUGGUCCGAGAGGAAUGGGUAACCUUUUGAAAGUGCAUCGUGAUAGGGAUAGACUAUUGCAAUUAUUGGUCUUCAACGAGGAAUUCCUAGUAGACGUAGUUCAUCAGACUGCAUCGAUUACGUCCCUGCCCUUUGUACACACCGCCCGUCGCUCCUACCGAUUGAAUGCUCAGGUGAGCCAUUCGGACUUUCAUCAUGCUGGUUUCCAGUUUUGAUGAAGGAAAGUCUUGCGAACCUUAUCAUUUAGAGGAAGGAGAAGUCGUAACA
This 324-nucleotide ribosomal RNA is filed under the name uncultured eukaryote. Its description in RNAcentral is "partial 18S ribosomal RNA". It matches the Rfam family "Eukaryotic small subunit ribosomal RNA", at positions 1470 to 1796 of the family's 1831-position model. The record is from RNAcentral.